This 253-nucleotide ribosomal RNA is filed under the name uncultured bacterium. RNAcentral's name for it is "partial 16S ribosomal RNA". It matches the Rfam family "Bacterial small subunit ribosomal RNA", at positions 524 to 776 of the family's 1533-position model. The record is from RNAcentral.
UACGGAGGGUGCGAGCGUUGUCCGGAUUUAUUGGGUUUAAAGGGUGCGUAGGUGGGUGACUAAGUCUGGUUUGAAAGCAGGUGGCUCAACCAUCUGAUGUGGCUGGAAACUGGUGAUCUUGAAUGGGUUGGCGGUAGCCGGAACGGGUCAUGUAGCGGUGAAAUGCAUAGAUAUGACCCAGAACACCGAUUGCGAAGGCAGGCUACUACGACUUGAUUGACACUGAGGCACGAGAGCCGGGGUAGCGAACAGG